Molecule: long non-coding RNA, 339 nt
Filed under: Pongo abelii (Sumatran orangutan)
Lineage: Eukaryota; Metazoa; Chordata; Mammalia; Primates; Hominidae
Description: lincRNA
Source: RNAcentral
UCUGAAGAGGAAAGCCCCGCGAUCAUCCGGUUUCACUCCUGUUUUCAUCUACUCUUUUCCUCAGCGAAGCCUAUAUGGGUCCCAGAUGUCACAUCACAGCUACCGCAUUGGCGGGUUAAGAGCCGUUGACAAAUCUCUUUCGGGAAGGGAAGAAGAAUUCCAAACAAAAGAUCUACUACCCUGAGAAGCAGUGAAGUGCUCCUGGGGCCCAUCAAGGCCACACAAGUUAAGGAGUGGAUGGUCUUGCCCCAGCUAUGGCUCAGAUCACCUUUGCAGGAUGACAUUGUGUUGGGAGAUGGUCAUCAGAGCCAGGGCCAUGGAAGAUGCUGUCAGGAGGAG